GAUAAUGAAGUAAAAAAUUUACAUUUAGUUUCGACCUAAAUUAUGGAAUCAUUUUCCCUUAUCU
Molecule: transfer RNA, 64 nt
Filed under: Eurydema maracandica
Lineage: Eukaryota; Metazoa; Arthropoda; Insecta; Hemiptera; Pentatomidae
Description: tRNA-Arg
Source: RNAcentral